AUCCUGGCUCAGAUUGAACGCUGGCGGCACGCCUUACACAUGCAAGUCGAACGGCAGCGGACCUUCGGGUGCCGGCGAGUGGCGAACGGGUGAGUAAUAUAUCGGAACGUACCUUCAGUGGGGGAUAACGUAGCGAAAGUUACGCUAAUACCGCAUAUUCUGUGAGCAGGAAAGCAGGGGAUCGCAAGACCUUGCGCUGAUUGAGCGGCCGAUAUCAGAUUAGCUAGUUGGUGAGGUAAAGGCUCACCAAGGCGACGAUCUGUAGCGGGUCUGAGAGGAUGAUCCGCCACACUGGAACUGAGACACGGUCCAGACUCCUACGGGAGGCAGCAGUGGGGAAUUUUGGACAAUGGGCGCAAGCCUGAUCCAGCCAUGCCGCGUGAGUGAAGAAGGCCUUCGGGUUGUAAAGCUCUUUCGGCCGGGAAGAAAUCGCACAGGUUAAUACCCUGUGUGGAUGACGGUACCGGAAUAAGAAGCACCGGCUAACUACGUG
This 493-nucleotide ribosomal RNA is filed under the name uncultured bacterium. Its description in RNAcentral is "bacterial SSU rRNA". It matches the Rfam family "Bacterial small subunit ribosomal RNA", at positions 16 to 507 of the family's 1533-position model. The record is from RNAcentral.